GACUGCCUAUGGUUGUAACUGCUUUACAGAGAAGAACACCCCCACGUGUGGGGGUUGACGGUACUCUGCGAAUAAGGAUCGGCUAACUCCGUGCCAGCAGCCGCGGUAAUACGGAGGAUCAAGCGUUAUCCGGAAUCAUUGGGUUUAAAGGGUCCGUAGGCGGGCAGUUAAGUCAGUGGUGAAAGUCUUCCGCUCAACGGGAGAACUGCCAUUGAUACUGAUUGUCUUGAGUUAUUAUGAAGUGGUUAGAAUGAGUAGUGUAGCGGUGAAAUGCAUAGAUAUUACUCAGAAUACCGAUUGCGAAGGCAGAUCACUAAUAAUAUACUGACGCUGAUGGACGAAAGCGUAGGUAGCGAACAGGAUUAGAUACCCUGGUAGUCUACGCCGUAAACGAUGGUUACUAGCUGUUCGGCCCAAUUGAGGGCUGAGUGGUUAAGCGAAAGUGAUAAGUAACCCACCUGGGGAGUACGUUCGCAAGAAUGAAACUCAAAGGAAUUGACGGGGGCCCGCACAAGCGAAGGUUCCUCGCGUAUCAUCCAAUUAAACCACAUGCUCCACACCAGGGCUUAAAUGUAGUCUGACAGGUCUGGAAACAGACUUUUCUUCGGACAGAUUACAAGGUGCUGCAUGGUUGUCGUCAGCUCGUGCCGUGAGGUGUCAGGUUAAGUCCUAUAACGAGCGCAACCCCUGUGGUUAGUUGCCAGCGAGUAAUGUCGGGAACUCUAGCCAGACUGCCGGUGCAAACCGCGAGGAAGGUGGGGAUGACGUCAAAUCAUCACGGCCCUUACGUCCUGGGCCACACACGUGCUACAAUGGUAGGGACAGAGAGCAGCCACUUCGCGAGAAGGAGCGAAUCUACAAACCCUAUCACAGUUCGGAUCGCAGUCUGCAACUCGACUGCGUGAAGCUGGAAUCGCUAGUAAUCGCAUAUCAGCCAUGAUGCGGUGAAUACGUUCCCGGGCCUUGUACACACCGCCCGUCAAGCCAUGGAAGCCGGGGGUACCUGAAGUCGGUCACCGCAAGGAGCCGCCUAGGGUAAAACUGGUAACUGGGGCUAAGUCGUAACAAGGUAACCAUUCCUGCACGCGGCAUGCCUGGAU
Molecule: ribosomal RNA, 1100 nt
Filed under: uncultured bacterium
Lineage: Bacteria
Description: bacterial SSU rRNA
Rfam family: Bacterial small subunit ribosomal RNA
Source: RNAcentral